Vicugna pacos (alpaca) is the source of this 3252-nucleotide non-coding RNA. Lineage: Eukaryota; Metazoa; Chordata; Mammalia; Artiodactyla; Camelidae. The record is from RefSeq and is a predicted model, not a curated record.
UAUAUUGUUUUUGUUUAUUCGUUGUAUUUUGUUUUAGUAUGAAAGCAAAUAAAAUUGCAGUAUGUUUUAUUGCUUCCAAGCAGCAAUCAGAAGGCACAGCGCUCCUCCUAACACAGGAGAAAUUAAAGAGAAGGCUGUACUGGAGCCCUGAGAGCUCAGUGACCUUCUCCAAACUGAACAGAGUGUGAAAUGUGAUUCUGUUCUCUUUAGGAUGAUUACCGAACUCCUCUUGGCUAAUACGACCAUUUGGCAUUACAUAUCUUCUAGUUGUCAUGCAGAUGACUCACUUAAAAUCAUUGCAGGAUAGCGUAAUUCACAUAUGUUAACUCAGUUCAUUUCAUCUGCCAUUUACCAACUGUUCUAUAGAAUAGUUUUACAUCCUGUAGAAUUGAUCUGUUUACCCGAAGGCAAAUUCAACCCGGUCUAUUAUAGAGCCUUUCCUUUCUUUCAAACCAAGGAAAGUUUCCCGCUUAGCUUUAAGGUUAUAAUGAAUGCUCUGGUACAGGUGGGGUUUUUCUUCACGUCAAGAAGAUGACAUUUUAUUGUUUGGUGGUACACAGCAGGUCAUCAUCCUGCUGGAUGCCUCUGGGAAGUCAGUCCCAGAUUUACUACUUGUACCCAUUUCAUUCAGGCACUGAAAUAAUUUGGGGUGAAACUUUUUCAGCAUUGAAGAAGCAAAGAUCGCAUCACUUUAUUUAUAGGGAAAGUAAAACCAGCAAUUCUGUACCUGCAGGCUUUACCACUCCUGGGUUCUUCUCAUCAAGUAAAUCUGCUGAGAUUUAAUGCUAUAUAAUCCUAGUUUAAGUUGGUAUAAAUAUCUGACAUUUUUAUGUGGGUAAAAUCAAACAAGAGAGGGAUCUCUACACAGUGACAUUUUUGUCACUACCUCAGGAAACCAAAACAGAAUGUUUUCGAUGCAAUCCAGAUUUUGAAAAGUGGCCUUAAAUAACUUGUAUCACAUGCUUUGCUCAUAAUCGGCAUUUCUUUUCCACAUUAGAGUUUGACUUUAACUUCCCCUCCUCCUUCUCUUAUUUAUUUUGCUCCAUAGACUUUGCACCCUCCCAUGCAAAUAAACAAUCAUUUGUUUAUUCUAUUGUACUGCUUGUCUCCUCCACCAGAAGACAUGGGCAAAGGCCAGAGAGAAGUUUCCCUUAUACCAUCACAGGCCCAGCCACUCCAGAGGAAGAAAAUAGUGACUCAAAAGUCACAUAAGGAUGGAACAUUUUGGAAGUCUUAAGAUGUGACUGGUGUUUAAAAAAUAAAAACGGCUAAUAUGGCUCCAAGGAAAUAUUGCGCAUCUGAGCUGCUCUCCGGGUGGUACCCUGGUCCAAGUUCCAGGGUUGAUGACCUCUGGUUCUUGAGUCUCAGCAAUGAAGGAAUCAGGACAGUAUAAAGUGAGAACCUUUGGAUUUAGAAUUUUCUUGGACCAGUUCUUGGUGCCUUCUCUGUAGAUGCCCUCUCGCACCACGUCUCAACACUGCUGACCUGAGGGCAGCAGGACCGAAGUCCUGAUGUCCCUCAGCCCCCUAAGUGCCUCACCAGCAAGACAAUCUCCAUUCCCUUUCAUUGCAACCUUCUCUCCAGUCAUCCAGCCCAUCAGGCCCUCACACCUUUUGGCCAGGUCUCGUUUCCCACGAUGACCCCUGAGAGAAUCUUACAGAGGAUGCUGCCUGCUGCCCACAGCACGGAGUCCAGCACAGUCCUCAGCACCCAGCUUGGUGCCCAGAUUUGAACAACUGUUCAGGAAGUGUUAUGAACAAAAACCACGGAGAGAGGAAAUUGUUCCACUGAGUUAUUUCUGGAGUGAUCCUAGUAUCCCUCCCCAGUUUUCUUAGUAGAAAAAUCCUCUGACGUGUGGUUCAUAGCAGUUCUCCAAAGCCAUGGGGGCCCCUGCUUUCUUCACUCCUGAGAGUCAGUGGCUGUGGUCUCCAGUGAGCAUCUCUGACCUAUGUUUGUGAGUCAACAUGGAUUUACGGAGCCAAGUUCUGGUGAGGAAGGUAGACAGCCCCUGACUUUCUGAAGCUUAUAUUCUCAUGAGAGAGACAGAAAAAAAAAUGAAAUAAAUAUCUCAUUUCAGGUGAUAAGUCCAUAAAGGAAAACCAAAGAAAGUAAGGGAAUGGAGAGGAAAAGCGUAGGGCAAGGUUAUCUGAAUUAGGAUGAUACAGGCAAGGCUCUCAGAGGAAGUGACAUUUGAGUAGAGGCUGUACAGAAGUCUGCCAGACAGUUUGAGUCAUGUAAAAAUGUCUUCAGAAUUAAAAUACAUGACAGUGGGAACACAAAAAAUAGGAGGGUAUUAAAUUGAUUAAAAUAGUCUAAGGCUCUUAAUAAAUGUUGUCCAGAAAGUGGUAAAAGUACUCAUUUAUAUUGGACUUUGGUAAAUUAAGCACACAUGAUGUAGUAUCUAUAGUUUUAAGAGAAGAAAAAUAAAACAGAGGAAGGAAAAGGAAUGCAAUGAUAAUAAUUAAUCCAAAAAGUAGCAAAAAAGAGACAAAAAAGAAUAUUUGAUUGGAAAAACAUAUAGAAAAUAGUAUGAUGGAUUUAAACCUAAAUAUAUUCAUAAUUACAUCAAAUAUACAUUGACUACAUACUCAAAUUAAGAGACAAAGAUUAUAAACAAAUGAUUGCAAAUAAAAUCCCAUCAGACAUAGCUUACUAGGGACAUACUUUGAGUAUAAAGGAAUGAAAAGAUUGAAAGCAAAGGGUAGAAAACUGCAGACAAAAGUUAACCAGAAGAAGAAUGAUAUAGCCAUAUUAAAAUUAGACAAUGUAGACUUUAAAGCUAGAAGAAUUACUAGAAAUCAAGAUGGCCAUUUUACAAGAAUGAAAGUGUUAUCUCAGCAUGAUGAUGUAACAAUGCUCAAUUUGUGUGUUGAAUAACACAGCUUCAAAAUAUAUAAAGCAAAAAUGAACGGAAGUAAACAGAGAAACCAAGAAACUACAACCAUAGUGGGAGAUUUUAAGGUACUUCUCCCUGCAAAUGAUAGAAAGAGAAGACAAAAAAAUCAGUACUGAACUAACUGAACAUUUGAAGACUGUGAUAAACAAGGAUGCCUGCUGUCUUUUCCUCUAUACUGCAUUGCACCUGAGGUCUCAGCCAGACUUACCCAGGCUUAUUUGCAGCCACAAGGGUAAGAGGACAAAUGGAGGCUACAUUCCCCAUAUAUAAACAUGCAAAAAUUACAAAUCAAGUUGUGAAACUGUCAAAAUAGUCCUGUCCUCCUACCCUGACAAAUAAACCUUUAAACGACAAAA